GAGGGUAUAGCUCAGGGUAGACUGCAUGCUUAGCAUGCACAAGGUCCUGGGUUCAAUCCCUAGUACCUCCA
Molecule: transfer RNA, 71 nt
Filed under: Camelus bactrianus (Bactrian camel)
Lineage: Eukaryota; Metazoa; Chordata; Mammalia; Artiodactyla; Camelidae
Also listed under: 2 other names
Rfam family: tRNA
About the family: Transfer RNA (tRNA) molecules are approximately 80 nucleotides in length. Their secondary structure includes four short double-helical elements and three loops (D, anti-codon, and T loops).
Source: Rfam by way of RNAcentral